GUGAGGAAUUUUCCGCAAUGGGCGAAAGUCUGACGCAGCGACGCCGCGUGAGUGAUGAAGGCCUUAGGGUCGUAAAGCUCUGUUGAAUGGGAAGAAAAAAAAUGACGGUACCAUUCGAGGAAGGACCGGCUAACUUCGUGCCAGCAGCCGCGGUAAUACGAGGGGUCCUAGCGUUGUUCGGAAUCAUUGGGCGUAAAGGGUGUGUAGGUGGCCAUGUAAGUCAGGUGUGAAAGCCCCGGGCUCAACCCGGGAAGUGCACUUGAUACUGCGUGGCUUGAGUACCGAAGAGGGUAGUGGAAUUCCAGGUGUAGUGGUGAAAUACGUAGAUAUCUGGAGGAACACCGGUGGCGAAGGCGGCUACCUGGUCGAGUACUGACACUGAGACACGAAAGCAUGGGGAUCAAACAGGAUUAGAAACCCUAGUAGUCC
This 429-nucleotide ribosomal RNA is filed under the name uncultured bacterium. RNAcentral's name for it is "partial 16S ribosomal RNA". It matches the Rfam family "Bacterial small subunit ribosomal RNA", at positions 354 to 796 of the family's 1533-position model. The record is from RNAcentral.